AGAGUUUGAUCCUGGCUCAGAUUGAACGCUGGCGGCAUGCCUUACACAUGCAAGUCGAACGGCAGCGCGGACUUCGGUCUGGCGGCGAGUGGCGAACGGGUGAGUAAUACAUCGGAACGUACCCUGUUGUGGGGGAUAACUAGUCGAAAGAUUAGCUAAUACCGCAUACGACCUGAGGGUGAAAGUGGGGGACCGCAAGGCCUCACGCAGCAGGAGCGGCCGAUGUCUGAUUAGCUAGUUGGUGGGGUAAAGGCCCACCAAGGCGACGAUCAGUAGCUGGUCUGAGAGGACGAUCAGCCACACUGGGACUGAGACACGGCCCAGACUCCUACGGGAGGCAGCAGUGGGGAAUUUUGGACAAUGGGGGCAACCCUGAUCCAGCAAUGCCGCGUGUGUGAAGAAGGCCUUCGGGUUGUAAAGCACUUUUGUCCGGAAAGAAAUCGCGCUGGUUAAUACCUGGCGUGGAUGACGGUACCGGAAGAAUAAGCACCGGCUAACUACGUG
RNAcentral lists this ribosomal RNA (504 nucleotides) under uncultured Cupriavidus sp. RNAcentral describes it as "bacterial SSU rRNA". It matches the Rfam family "Bacterial small subunit ribosomal RNA", at positions 8 to 507 of the family's 1533-position model. The record is from RNAcentral. Lineage: Bacteria; Pseudomonadati; Pseudomonadota; Betaproteobacteria; Burkholderiales; Burkholderiaceae.